Molecule: ribosomal RNA, 929 nt
Filed under: uncultured bacterium
Lineage: Bacteria
Description: bacterial SSU rRNA
Rfam family: Bacterial small subunit ribosomal RNA
Source: RNAcentral
UCCCACGUGUGGGAGCUUGUAUGUACCUUAUGAAUAAGCAUCGGCUAACUCCGUGCCAGCAGCCGCGGUAAUACGGAGGAUGCGAGCGUUAUCCGGAUUUAUUGGGUUUAAAGGGAGCGCAGACGGGUCGUUAAGUCAGCUGUGAAAGUUUGGGGCUCAACCUUAAAAUUGCAGUUGAUACUGGCGUCCUUGAGUGCGGUUGAGGUGUGCGGAAUUCGUGGUGUAGCGGUGAAAUGCUUAGAUAUCACGAAGAACUCCGAUUGCGAAGGCAGCACACUAAUCCGUAACUGACGUUCAUGCUCGAAAGUGUGGGUAUCAAACAGGAUUAGAUACCCUGGUAGUCCACACGGUAAACGAUGGAUACUCGCUGUUGGCGAUAUACUGUCAGCGGCUUAGCGAAAGCGUUAAGUAUCCCACCUGGGGAGUACGCCGGCAACGGUGAAACUCAAAGGAAUUGACGGGGGCCCGCACAAGCGGAGGAACAUGUGGUUUAAUUCGAUGAUACGCGAGGAACCUUACCCGGGCUUAAAUUGCAAAGGAAUAAUCUGGAAACAGGUUAGUCUUCGGACCUUUGUGAAGGUGCUGCAUGGUUGUCGUCAGCUCGUGCCGUGAGGUGUCGGCUUAAGUGCCAUAACGAGCGCAACCCUCGCCGCCAGUUACUAACAGUUAAAGCUGAGGACUCUGGCGGGACUGCCAUCGUAAGAUGUGAGGAAGGUGGGGAUGACGUCAAAUCAGCACGGCCCUUACGUCCGGGGCUACACACGUGUUACAAUGGGCGGUACAGAAGGCAGCUACCUGGCGACAGGAUGCCAAUCCCUAAAGCCGCUCUCAGUUCGGACUGGAGUCUGCAACCCGACUCCACGAAGCUGGAUUCGCUAGUAAUCGCGCAUCAGCCACGGCGCGGUGAAUACGUUCCCGGGCCUUGCACA